UNUUUACAAUGGGCCGCAAGCCUGNUGAAGCCACGCCGCGUGCGGGGAUGAAGGCCCUCUGGGUUGUAAACCGCUGUCGAGGAAGAGGGAACCGCUGCAUGUGAAUAGCAUGCAGUCUGACUGCUUUCUGAAGGAAGCCCCGGCAAAACAUGUGCCAGCAGCCGCGGUAAUACAUGUGGGGCAAGCGUUGUUCGGAAUUACNUGGGCAUAAAGGGUGCGGUAGGUGGUUUGCUAAGUCAGGGGUGAAAUCCCGCGGCCCAACCGUGGAACUGCCUUUGAUACUGGCGAACUUGAGUGCGUGAGGGGUAACCGGAACGAGCAGUGUAGCGGUGAAAUGCGUAGAUAUUGCUCGGAAGGCCAGAGGCGAAGGCGGGUUACUGGUACGCAACUGACACUGAGGCACGAAAGCGUGGGGAGCAAACAGGAUUAGAUACCCUGGUAGUCCACGCCGUAAACAAUGGGCACUAGAUGGAUGUCGAGCUAUCGAUGUCUGUCGGAGACAAUUUGGUAAGUGCCCCGCCUGGGGAGUAUGGUCGCAAGGCUGAAACUCAAAGAAAUUGACGGA
RNAcentral lists this ribosomal RNA (565 nucleotides) under uncultured bacterium. RNAcentral's name for it is "bacterial SSU rRNA". It matches the Rfam family "Bacterial small subunit ribosomal RNA", at positions 363 to 917 of the family's 1533-position model. The record is from RNAcentral.